GCAGAGCACUCUACGGGAGGCAGCAGUGGGGAAUAUUGCACAAUGGGCGCAAGCCUGAUGCAGCCAUGCCGCGUGUAUGAAGAAGGCCUUCGGGUUGUAAAGUACUUUCAGCAGUGAGGAAGGUGGAUAUGUUAAUAGCAUAUUCAUUUGACGUUAGCUGCAGAAGAAGCACCGGCUAACUCCGUGCCAGCAGCCGCGGUAAUACGGAGGGUGCGAGCGUUAAUCGGAAUUACUGGGCGUAAAGCGCAUGCAGGUGGUUUGUUAAGUCAGAUGUGAAAGCCCGGGGCUCAACCUCGGAAUUGCAUUUGAAACUGGCAAACUAGAGUACUGUAGAGGGGGUAGAAUUUCAGGUGUAGCGGUGAAAUGCGUAGAGAUCUGAAGGAAUACCGGUGGCGAAGGCGGCCCCCUGGACAGAUACUGACACUCAGAUGCGAAAGCGUGGGGAGCAAACAGGAUUAGAUACCCUGGUAG
RNAcentral lists this ribosomal RNA (471 nucleotides) under uncultured bacterium. RNAcentral's name for it is "bacterial SSU rRNA". It matches the Rfam family "Bacterial small subunit ribosomal RNA", at positions 328 to 793 of the family's 1533-position model. The record is from RNAcentral.